RNAcentral lists this transfer RNA (72 nucleotides) under Pilimelia terevasa. RNAcentral describes it as "tRNA-Cys". It matches the Rfam family "tRNA". Rfam says of the family: Transfer RNA (tRNA) molecules are approximately 80 nucleotides in length. Their secondary structure includes four short double-helical elements and three loops (D, anti-codon, and T loops). Lineage: Bacteria; Bacillati; Actinomycetota; Actinomycetes; Micromonosporales; Micromonosporaceae. The record is from RNAcentral.
GACGGGGUGCCCGAGUGGUUAGGGGGCCGCCUGCAAAGCGGUCUACGUCGGUUCGAAUCCGGCACCCGUCUC